Molecule: transfer RNA, 73 nt
Filed under: Candidatus Zixiibacteriota bacterium
Lineage: Bacteria; Pseudomonadati; Candidatus Zixiibacteriota
Description: candidate division Zixibacteria bacterium (sediment metagenome) tRNA-Ala
Rfam family: tRNA
About the family: Transfer RNA (tRNA) molecules are approximately 80 nucleotides in length. Their secondary structure includes four short double-helical elements and three loops (D, anti-codon, and T loops). Further hydrogen bonds mediate the characteristic L-shaped molecular structure. tRNAs have two regions of fundamental functional importance: the anti-codon, which is responsible for specific mRNA codon recognition, and the 3' end, to which the tRNAs corresponding amino acid is attached (by aminoacyl-tRNA synthetases). tRNAs cope with the degeneracy of the genetic code in two manners: having more than one tRNA (with a specific anti-codon) for a particular amino acid; and 'wobble' base-pairing, i.e. permitting non-standard base-pairing at the 3rd anti-codon position.
Source: RNAcentral
GGGGCGGUAGUUCAGUUGGGAGAACGCCUGAAUGGCAUUCAGGAGGUCAGGGGUUCGACUCCCCUCCGCUCCA